Molecule: long non-coding RNA, 121 nt
Filed under: Pan troglodytes (chimpanzee)
Lineage: Eukaryota; Metazoa; Chordata; Mammalia; Primates; Hominidae
Description: lincRNA
Source: RNAcentral
UCAUGGCUGUUUAUGCGGUGGCUCGCUGCUCAGGACAUGAGGACUCUAUCGGGAAGCAGAGUGACAAUGGCCUCCUUGAGGACUGAGGCCCCUGGAUAAAUGAGGCCCAGAUCCAGAUCCA